Molecule: non-coding RNA, 87 nt
Organism: Podarcis lilfordi (Lilford's wall lizard)
Lineage: Eukaryota; Metazoa; Chordata; Lepidosauria; Squamata; Lacertidae
Source: the annotation of a GenBank genome assembly
GGCUGACUGUCCAUGGCUCAGUGAUAGAGCAUCUGAUUUGCAUGCUGAAGAUCCCAGAUUCAAUUUCUGGCAUCCACAGGUGGGCCA